AUCUUCAGGGCAGGGUGAAAGUCCCUACCGGUGGUAUAGCCCACGAGCCGCAAGGUAUGAUUCGGUGAAACUCCGAAGCCGACAGUACAGUCUGGAUGGAAGAAGAUU
RNAcentral lists this non-coding RNA (108 nucleotides) under pig gut metagenome. RNAcentral's name for it is "FMN riboswitch (RFN element)". It matches the Rfam family "FMN riboswitch aptamer (RFN element)". From Rfam's summary of the family: The RFN element is a highly conserved domain that is found frequently in the 5'-untranslated regions of prokaryotic mRNAs that encode for flavin mononucleotide (FMN) biosynthesis and transport proteins. The record is from RNAcentral.